Molecule: non-coding RNA, 182 nt
Organism: Dorea formicigenerans CAG:28
Lineage: Bacteria; Bacillati; Bacillota; Clostridia; Lachnospirales; Lachnospiraceae
Rfam family: 6S / SsrS RNA
About the family: E. coli 6S RNA was the first non coding RNA to be sequenced, but its function was unknown until recently. It consists of 184 nucleotides that fold into an extended hairpin structure with a large single-stranded internal bulge.
Source: Rfam
AAGAACCUGGGAUGCACGAUAACUCCUGUUAUUUUGAACCUACAUCACUUUAAACGGGACUCUUAUAUCUUCGUAAUAUGUCGAGCCUUCAUUAUGCAGAGGAUGGCAGAAAAGCGAAUGCGGACACCCACCUAGCAGACAGCUAGGAGUCAAAAUACAGGAACCGGCAUUUUGGGGAACAU